AUUUUGAUAUUUACCUUUUUCGUCUGAUUCAUGAGCAGAUUUAGUAAUAAUGCAAUAUCUUCUGUUAAUAACUAAUAUUAGUUACUGUUGUGAGCGGAAGCUGCUAUUUCAUGUAUCGAGGGUUCUGUUUCAUAUUUGUUUUCUGUCCAUAUUUUAUGAACCAGUAAUGGCAAUAGUAGUAGUGUUAGAAGUAAUAAAAAAAUUGUUGUUAUUAUGUCAGUCAUUUUCUUGUUUGUCAUCCAUGCAUUUUGGUGUUGGAUACCUUUAAUAAAUUGGCACAAUAAUUCAUUUGUCAGGUUGAUGGUGAUUAUUAGUGAAAUCAAGGCUCUAUGCUUGUAAUAUCAAGAACAGAAUAAAACCUGCAGAAAUUUAUUUGGAGCUCUACACGGCCUCCUUGAUUGAUGAUGCCUUCUGAGAUUGAAGAAGAUAAGAUCACUUUCUGCGAGGCGUCAAUAUCAAGAUAAGAGCAAUCUGUUUCUGUUUUAAGCUCAAUGAGGAAUCAAAAUGUUUGCCGACUUCUUGUUUUCUUUUAUGAGCAGCAGAUGGCGAUAAUACAGAGCAAGCAUCCUGUUGAUUUGAUUAAAGUAUAUUCAGAAAAGGAGCUUUUGAAGGAGUUUGAAAAAAUUGCUUCCACCAUUGUACCAGAAAAAGAUUGGUCUAUGUGAAGGCCUUAUUAUUGGAGGCAUGCCAUUUGUUAUGCUUCUUAUCAAAAGAGCUCUUGAGAGACUUUCAGUACAUGUUUAUUCCGAUGUUACGCAAUUGCAAAGUUCCCCGUAUGCUUCCUCGUAUAGUUGACUGUUCGAAGAAUGACCGAAAUGCAGUACGUGUACUUCGUGCAAGAUAUCAACUGGCCCUGAAGCACGCCAAAUAGCCGAUCCUGCUACACCGUCGUAGAUCAAGAACUUCGCAUUAAGUCAGCAUCUACAAGAGAUCCAUGGACGUGUAACAUCAAUGAUAGCAUGACUGCCAAAUGUCUGUCCCAAGUAGUAUUGGAAGUAUUGGAUUAGGACCAAUACGCGAGGAAGAUAGCAUGACCAAUGUACCGAAGAGCAAUGUCCCGCAAAAAGAUCCAAUUGAACUGUUACCAAAUGCGGAUGAAAGAACAAUAAACCUAAGUGAUAAGGAGCGUGAUAUUGGAGAAAUAUCAUUUGGAAAGAGGAAAUUCACUUCAACUUGUGUGGGAGCACUACAAAAGACAGAAAAUUGGUGAGAAAUGGAAGGCUAUAUGCAAUCAUUGCAAGAAAUAGUUAGGGGGUAAAACAAAAAUUGGUAAAAAGCCUUUGCAUGAUCAUUUGAAGAGAUGUGUAUUCCGUUAUAAGGAUAAUACUCACCAAGCAAUAUUAAAUUUCAAAAAGGAUGCCACGAGUGGCAAGCUCACAACUCUUUCGAUCCAGAUAAAUGUAGAUAUAGCCUUUCAAAAAUGGUGAUUUUGCAUGAGUAUCCUUUGUCUAUAGUUGAUCACAUUGAAUUUCGAGAGUUUUUGCAUGACCUAAAACCAUUGUUUAAGGUUCCUUCUCGCAACACUUUGAAAAUCUAUGAAUACGAAAGAGCCAAAAAUAUGAUUGCACUUGAGAAGAUUGAGAGUCGAAUUUCGAUCACUACCGACAUGUGGACCUCUUCUAAUCAAAAGAGUGGAUAUAUGGUUAUCACUGCUCAUUUCAUAAAUGAAGCGUGGAAAUUAUAGAGUCGAAUCGUGAGGUUUAUAUAUGUACCGUGCCCACACACUGCUGAUAUGCUUUUAGAAACUCUAUUGAGCAGCUUGAUGGACUGGAAUAUUGAUCGUAAGUUACCAACUUUGAUUGUAGAAAUUGCACCACAAACGAUGCAAUGAUCAGUAUUGUGUUAAGUCAACUUUGUACUCGUUCUCUUGUACUGAAUGGUGAAUUUUUUCAUAUGAGGUGUUGUGUACAUAUAUUAAAUCUUAUUGUGAAGGAUGUGUUGGACAUUAUUAGUGGUAGUGUUGAGAAAAUUAGUGAUAGUGUUGCUUAUUGGACAGCCACGCCAAAGAGAUUUGAAAUUUUUGAGCUCUUUGCACGUUAAUUGAAAAUUGAUUGUGAAA
Molecule: long non-coding RNA, 2059 nt
Organism: Olea europaea var. sylvestris
Lineage: Eukaryota; Viridiplantae; Streptophyta; Magnoliopsida; Lamiales; Oleaceae
Exons: 7
Source: RefSeq, a predicted model, not a curated record